Long non-coding RNA from Manduca sexta (tobacco hornworm), 660 nucleotides. RefSeq lists it as uncharacterized. The transcript has 3 exons. Lineage: Eukaryota; Metazoa; Arthropoda; Insecta; Lepidoptera; Sphingidae. The record is from RefSeq and is a predicted model, not a curated record.
UAAAUGGUGCAUUAAUGUCACCAUCGUUGAAAGUAUUACUUUAGCUGAUUAACACCAUCAUAGCAAGAAAUGGAAGGGAGAGACUCCAACUACAAUUUGUAUACAAUAUCUUUAUUGACACAAGAUAAUUGGCUAUAACAAAACAUUAUGGAGUUAAACGCUUCAAUGGAAACUACACUAAACGGUCAACGGGAACAAUCGUUAUGCCAAAAGAGCCUAAAAACCUGACGAAAAUGGCCAUUGGACAAAAUGAGAAACUUUCUUGAAGAAAAUAAUAACUUCACCUUUUGAAACAGGAUCAAGCAAAAAUCCAAUUCAAAAUACUGGUAUGAGCAGCAUCGUCAUAUUUAGGGCUAAGGUGUAACCAAAAUAUGAUCACCUACUUUGCAGGUUUGCAGUCUAUCGCAAACAAUAAAAACCUGAAAUAAAUAAUUCUAUUAUCAAGAUCUAAAAAACUUAUACUUCCGACGCUGAAGAUGAUGAAAGAAGAGCUUCCUCAGACCUGUAGAAAAUGUUGAAAAAAAUCGUUGAAUACUUUUAUUUUUAAAAAAUACUGGCACGCACGAACCUAUUUCUGCAGAAAAUACUAUAUAAAUUCUGUUUUAUAUACAAAAUAAAUUAUCUACCAGACUUAAUAAUAUCUAGGUCGAAUUAAAUGAG